Paramacrobiotus metropolitanus is the source of this 219-nucleotide long non-coding RNA. RefSeq lists it as uncharacterized. NCBI's taxonomy places the organism in Eukaryota, Metazoa, Tardigrada, Eutardigrada, Parachela, Macrobiotidae. The record is from RefSeq and is a predicted model, not a curated record. The transcript has 3 exons.
GCAGCGUUGUUAACGGCUUUUUGAUAGCCAAAUUGCAGCUUGCUGUCUGGCCAAGAAACAUGGGCAAUAGUGCACCGAUCGAGUUACAAUUUUCGAAAACUAAUUGUUACGGACGAGCAGGGUUUGUGCCCUCUGGAAUCUUCUUAUAGGGAACAAUGUCGCAAAGCAACACGUUAUCCUCGAUCGCCGCCCGCUGGGCAGAUGGAGAUUCAAGGACCC